Molecule: ribosomal RNA, 1107 nt
Filed under: uncultured Termite group 1 bacterium
Lineage: Bacteria; Pseudomonadati; Elusimicrobiota
Description: bacterial SSU rRNA
Rfam family: Bacterial small subunit ribosomal RNA
Source: RNAcentral
AAUGCGUUUUGAGAUGGUCCUGCGGCCUAUCAGCUAGUUGGUGGGGUAACGGCCUACCAAGGCUACGACGGGUAUCCGGCCUGAAAGGGUGAACGGACACACUGGAACUGAGACACGGUCCAGACUCCUACGGGAGGCAGCAGUGGGGAAUUUUGGACAAUGGGGGAAACCCUGAUCCAGCGACGCCGUGUGGAGGAUGAAGGUCUUCGGAUUGUAAACUCCUUUUAGAGGGGAAGAAAAAAAUGACGGUACCCUAAGAAAAAGCCACGGCUAACUACGUGCCAGCAGCCGCGGUAAUACGUAGGUGGCGAGCGUUACUCGGAAUUACUAGGCGUAAAGCGUAUGUAGGCGGUUAGAAUAAGUCUUUAGUGAAAUUUCUCUGCUCAACAGGGAAGGGUCUAAGGAUACUGUUUGACUUGAGUGUUGGAGGGGGAGACGGAAUUCCUGGUGUAGCGGUGAAAUGCGUAGAUAUCAGGAGGAACACCGAUGGCGAAAGCAGUCUCCUGGCCAAAUACUGACGCUAAUGUACGAAAGCUAGGGUAGCAAACAGGAUUAGAUACCCUGGUAGUCCUAGCUGUAAACGAUGUUCACUAGAUGUGGGAGGUAUCGACCCCUUCCGCGUCGACGCUAACGCAUUAAGUGAACCGCCUGGGGAGUACGGCCGCAAGGUUGAAACUCAAAGGAAUUGACGGGGGCCCGCACAAGCGGUGGAGUAUGUGGUUUAAUUCGACGCAACGCGAAAAACCUUACCUGGGCUUGAACUGCUAAUGGUAAAAGCCGGAAACGGUGAUGACCCGCAAGGGAGUUAGUAGAGGUGCUGCAUGGCUGUCGUCAGCUCGUGUCGUGAGAUGUUGGGUUAAGUCCCGCAACGAGCACAACCCUUAUCCCAUGUUACCUGUAGCAAUACAGGGUCUCUGAGGAAACUGCCAUUGAUAAAAUGGAGGAAGGUGGGGAUGACGUCAAGUCAUCAUGGCCUUUAUGUCCAGGGCUACACACGUACUACAAUGGUCGGUACAGAAGGUAGCGAUAUCGCAAGAUGGAGCAAAUCCUUAAAGCCGGCCUCAGUUCAGAUUGUGGGCUGCAAUUCGCCCACAUGAAGUAGGAAUC